Molecule: long non-coding RNA, 4350 nt
Organism: Cyprinus carpio carpio
Lineage: Eukaryota; Metazoa; Chordata; Actinopteri; Cypriniformes; Cyprinidae
Source: Ensembl
AAUACUAUCAUGAUCUGAACACCUGCUCAUGUCUCCUACAUCAAAGAAGAUCAGACGAUUGCACAGAAGCUCAUCAAGUCUGUGAAAUGCAGUGAGAGUGUGAGUUUAACUUUUACCUGUCAAAAGAAAGCCAUGCAUUUCCCAACAUGAAUAUCCCUGCUAACAAUAACAAUGAGCUAACAAUGAGCAGGAAGUUGAGUUCUUCUUCUUUCACUUAAAAUGAGAUCCAAACAUGAUCAAGUACAUAAAGCUUCACCGACUGCAUGAGAAAACAAACAACACUUACAUGUGUACAUUAGGAUGCAGCUUCUCAUCUUCCUUUUGUGUGCCAUUGAGAGAGUUUAAAGCAAACCCAGAUAUACUCACACAUGCAUACAUAAUACAAAAUAUUAGUAAACAGUUAACAGAAAAAAAUAAAAAAUAACAAGUACAAAGGCCCCUCUGCAGGGCAGUGUGUGCGUCACAGACAGACAGACAGAGUUUGAGCUGUGGCACACGGUCAGAGCAGAGCAGAGCAGACAGACAUCUGUCCCCAUGGCAACAGCCUGCUAUGGACUUCCUGUGAGCGGGAAAAAAACUCUUUAUUCCUCCGUCUCUCUCUCUCUCUCUCUCUCUGGAGAUGUAAAUAUGAGACUGCUGAUUUGAAGAGCGCUUGGAAUAAUGAAGGUCUGAUGGAAAGACAGACAGAGAGAGAGAGAGUCUGUUGUAGAGCAGGUGAGACGUGUUCAUAUGCAGCAGAUAUUGAUUCAUUUAGCAGAUGCUUUUAUCCAGAAGUCGAGCGCCACUCAGAUGAAGAUGAGGAUGAUGCUGCAGGAGGUUUUCAGGAUGAAGUGCGUCAGUGUUUGUGAGUCUGCAGACGUCUGUUGAAGGUUCUGAAGGACAGAUUUACUGUAGAUUGUGUUCAUACAGUGUGUGUGUAAUGUGAUUUAAAGAAAGAGCCUCUGCUCUCAUCACUGCAUACAGCAACCACAAACAAUAUUGAAGGAAUAGUUCAGACCAAAAUGUAAAUGUGCUCACCCUCAGAUGUGCUCAGCAAUGGAUGCUCUGCAGUGAAUGGGUGCCGUCAGAAUGAGAGUCCAAACAGCUGAUAAAAACAUCACAAUAAUCCACAAGUAAUCCACAGCACUCCAGUCCAUCAGUGAACAUCUGGAGAAGACAAAAGAUGAAACAAAUCCAGCAUUAAGAUGUUUUUAACUCAAAUACAUAGAGUCUAUAAUCCAUAAUAACACUUCCUGCAGUGAAAAAGAGCAUCUGCUGUUGUCUCUCACAUCAAAAUCCAGACACAUAUUUGUUUAGAGCUGUUUAAACGCUGCUUGAUCUGUGCAGAUUUCUCUCCUGAUUCACACCAGAACACUUUUUCACUGCAGGAAGUGUUAUUAUGGAUUAUAGACUCUAUGUAUUUGAGUUAAAAAAGUCUUAAUGCUGGAUGUGUUUCAUCUUUUGUCUUCUCCAGAUGUUAACUGAUGGACUGGAGUGCUGUGGAUUACUUGUGGAUUAUUGUGAUGUUUUUAUCAGCUGUUUGGACUCUCAUUCUGACGGCACCCAUUCACUGCAGAGCAUCCAUUGCUGAGACACUGAUGCAGUGCUACAUUUCUACAAACCUGAUGAAGAAACACACUCAUCCUGAUCUCAGAUGAACUGAGGGUGAGCACUUUAUCAGCACAAUGCAAGUACAUUUUCAGUGUUUACUGUAUAUAUACGUGUGUGUGUGUGUGUGUGUGUGUGUGGGUGUGUGUGUGGGGUGUGUGUGUGUGUGUGUGUGUGUGUGGGUGGGUGUGUGUGUGUGUGUGUGUGUGUGAGAAGCGUUGGGCUUGACAUGCAGCAGGCCCAGAGGUGCGUUCAGCUUUACUCAGCUCUGAUGUUCAGAUGUUGUUCAGGGUUUCAUCUUUAGCUGGUGUCUCUCUGGACCAUCUGUCUUUCACUCCUCUGAUUGUUGUCUGGCAGCCUCUGUGGGAGAAACUCAAGACCUGAUUGAAAACAGCUCUCUUUCACACAAACAGCUGCUGUGAUGGUCUGUGUGUGAUUUCUGCUGUUUGUUCUGUUUACUUUAAUGAAAUGAUCUGAAGCAGCUCAGUUCUUCAACAUCUCGACUCUUUACUGGGUUUGACCGCAGCGGUGUCUUUUUCUCAUGGCGCGCGAAAGAUUUGGGGAAUACUGGUGUUUGUUUUUGUGUUUUGUGUGACUACAUGAAUAGUUUUUGUUGCAUAAACUAAAUCUGGACAGUGGGUUUGUAGUUCCCAGCAUGGGGAUCUCCAAACUGGACAUGGAGAGUAAAAGUUGAAGAGCUGUUUAAGUUCUGUUGCACUUUUUGUGAUUCUCAUUGUGCUGAGGACUUGUGUAUGAGGGAAUGCAUUUCAUUUCAGAUAAGUUAUAUUUAGCAUGUGUGCACUGCAUAAGAAAAACAGGUUAAUUAACCAAGAUGAGUUUGAUUGUUUGGUGAAACUGCUGUUCAUUUAAACUGACUCAAAGAAACUGAUGUUUUUGGAAUGAAAGAUGUUCAAUUAUGUGUACAACGUUCUAUAAAUGAUUUAGUUAAUUCGUUUUUUUUUUUUUUUAGACAUUUUUUUAGUGGGUGUUCUAUUAGGGUUAGUGAAAAACACCUGCUGAUUGAAUGUGAUGGAAUUGUUAUAAAUCUGCAAAUGUUCAUCACUCCAACACAGUCACAUUUAUUUGUAUAGCGCUUGAUACAAUACAGAUUGAUUUAAAGCAGCUUCAGAGUAAUACACAGGAAGAUAACAGUUUUGAUGCAAAAUUCAUCAGUUGUGAAGCAACUUCAGUUUCAGUGGUAAGCAGCUCUACAGAAGAGUCAUUCUGUGUCAAAUAAACUAUUUCAGAAACCUUGUAGCAGGGGUCAAAAUGACAUUUUUCAUCUGAGAUUCGAAGCCAAAUUACAGGAGGGUUAAAUGACUUCAGAAAGACGGUAGCAUCAUUAUGUUAUUUUCUCACAGAGAUUGGUAGCUUUUUGAAGAAAAAAAAGCUCUUUUUGAAGUUUUUUUUUUUCCCAAAGUUUGCAUGCCUGCACUCAAGAAGUAUAAAGUAUAUAUUAAUGUCCUUUUAGAUUCUAAUUAUUAAUAAACUUUUCUUUUGGUACCUUCAUUUCUAAGGUCCUAUGUGGUUCAGUAACAGAGAGACUGGGAUCUCAAUGUGGCUCCAUGAGUAAAAUUUUCAAUUGCACACAUUCAACAGUCAAAAAACUAAUAUGGGGCACUUUGCAUUCAACUGAUAUUUACUCUAAUUAUAGAGAAAUGUCUGAAGAACAAAUCAUGUUGAAACUAGAAAUGCAUCUCGUUUCCCCUCCAUCAAAAUGAUUGUAUUGAACACACCAGUCUGAGUGAGAAAAAUAAUCCUUUUUCCAAAGUUUGCAUGUCUGUAACUUAGUUAUUUACAUUUACAUUUAAUCAUUUAGCAGACGCUUUUAUCCAAAGCGACUUACAAAUGAGAACAGUAGAAACAAUCAGAUCAACGAGAACAACAACGGUAUACAAGUACCGUUAUCCUAAUAUUCUUUUAGAUGUUGGUUCUUAAGAAACUUUUCUUUUGUUAUCUGUAUUUGUAAGGCCCUGUGUGGUUCAGCUCCAGAGACAUUGGGAUUUAAAUAGUUUAAUAUUACCUGUUUUCAAUGGUUAAAAACCAAAUGAGGGUCACAUUGCAUACAGAUGAUGUUGUAUUUAAAGAGAAAUGUCUGAAGAGCAAAUGAUGUUGAAACUAAAAAUGUAUCUCAUUUCUCUCUAUCAAAAGAAUUGCAUAGAACAAACCUGUCUGAGUGCCAGAAAUAAGUGUAAGUCACCAGUGAUAUAUAAUGCAACCAAGACUUCUGUGAGUAUUUUAAGCAGCGCCCAUCCCAUGAGCCGUGAAUAGUGCAGACAGCUCGACUUCCAGUGGGUGCAUCUUGGCAAAGGAGGAACUGAUGCUAUAAUGGAGAAUGAAAGAAUGGCCAGAAUUAAACCCACUCAUUACAGUGAUGUCGGCCAACAUAGAGACGCAUCUGAUGCCUUUAUUUAGACGUGCAUCUGAGCCAAAGUUCAUUUCUAGAGUUCAUGAUGCUGAUCUGUAUAGCGUUUAAUCACAGCUAUAAACACAGAAACGGAUCCUGUGUUUAGGUGAGUCAGUUUUCUUCUGAAUAACUGUGGAAGAAGAGUGACGUUCAGAGCGCUUCCCACACACUCACGUAUGGAUGCAUAUGAAGCGGCUCGCUAUAACACACGUCGCGUGUUUAUUCUCUCCGCUGCAGGCCUUGAGCUCCUUUGAGAUUCAAACAUGCCCGUGUUUUCAAACCCUUCACCAUCCUCACGUUCAUUCAUUCAUUCAUUCAUUCAUUCAUUUAGUCAAUUGCAUGUUCAUACUUAUUCA